CAACAGGGAUUGCCUCAGUAACGGCGAGUGAAGCGGCAACAGCUCAAAUUUGAAAUCUGGCUCCUUCGGGGCCCGAGUUGUAAUUUGCAGAGGAUGCGUCGGGUACGGGUGCCUUCCGAGUUCCCUGGAACGGGACGCCAUAGAGGGUGAGAGCCCCGUCUGGUAGGACACCCAGCCCGUGUGACGCUCCCUCGACGAGUCGAGUAGUUUGGGAAUGCUGCUCUAACGGGAGGUAUACUCCUUCCAAGGCUAAAUACCGGCUGGAGACCGAUAGCGCACAAGUAGAGUGAUCGAAAGAUGAAAAGCACUUUGAAAAGAGAGUCAAACAGCACGUGAAAUUGUUAAAAGGGAAGCGCUCGCUACCAGACUUGGGUUCGGCGGUUCAACCGGGGCCACGCCCCGGGGCAUUCCGCCGGCCCAGGCCAGCAUCAGCUUUCCGUCGGGGGUAAAGGCGUCGGGAAUGUGGCUCCCCUUCGGGGGAGUGUUAUAGCCCGUCGUGUCAUACCCUUCGGGGGGCUGAGGUACGCGCUUCUGCAAGGAUGCUGGCGUAAUGGUAGCUAGUGACCCGUCUUGAAACACGGACCAAGGAGUCAACCUUAUGUGCGAGUGCCCGGGCGUAAAACCCCAGCGCGGAAUGAAAGUGAACGUAGGUGAGAGCUUCGGCGCAUCACCGACCGAUCCUGAUGUCCUCGGACGGAUUUGAGUGAGAGCAUAUAGGGUUGGACCCGAAAGAAGAUGAACUAUGCGUGUGUAGGGUGAAGCCAGAGGAAACUCUGGUGGAGGCUCGCAGCGGUUCUGACGUGCAAAUCGAUCGUCAAACAUGCGCAUGGGGGCGAAAGACUAAUCGA
RNAcentral lists this ribosomal RNA (848 nucleotides) under Plectosphaerella cucumerina. Its description in RNAcentral is "partial large subunit ribosomal RNA". It matches the Rfam family "Eukaryotic large subunit ribosomal RNA", at positions 66 to 938 of the family's 3401-position model. Lineage: Eukaryota; Fungi; Ascomycota; Sordariomycetes; Glomerellales; Plectosphaerellaceae. The record is from RNAcentral.